RNAcentral lists this ribosomal RNA (476 nucleotides) under uncultured organism. RNAcentral's name for it is "partial 16S ribosomal RNA". It matches the Rfam family "Bacterial small subunit ribosomal RNA", at positions 333 to 800 of the family's 1533-position model. The record is from RNAcentral.
ACACUCCUACGGGAGGCAGCAGUGGGGAAUUUUGGACAAUGGGGGCAACCCUGAUCCAGCAAUGCCGCGUGAGUGAAGAAGGCCUUCGGGUUGUAAAGCUCUUUUGUCAGGGAAGAAACGGUGGUGGCGAAUAACUACUACUAAUGACGGUACCUGAAGAAUAAGCACCGGCUAACUACGUGCCAGCAGCCGCGGUAAUACGUAGGAUGCAAGCGUUAAUCGGAAUUACUGGGCGUAAAGCGUGCGCAGGCGGUUGUGUAAGUCAGAUGUGAAAUCCCCGGGCUCAACCUGGGAAUUGCAUUUGAGACUGCACGGCUAGAGUGUGUCAGAGGGGGGUGGAAUUCCACGUGUAGCAGUGAAAUGCGUAGAUAUGUGGAGGAAUACCGAUGGCGAAGGCAGCCCCCUGGGAUAACACUGACGCUCAUGCACGAAAGCGUGGGGAGCAAACAGGAUUAGAAACCCUAGUAGUCCCAUGA